AAGCGACUAAGCGUACACGGUGGAUGCCCUGGCAGUCAGAGGCGAUGAAGGACGUGCUAAUCUGCGAAAAGCGUCGGUAAGGUGAUAUGAACCGUUAUAACCGGCGAUGUCCGAAUGGGGAAACCCAGUGCAAUUCGUUGCACUAUCGUUAACUGAAUACAUAGGUUAACGAGGCGAACCGGGGGAACUGAAACAUCUAAGUACCCCGAGGAAAAGAAAUCAACCGAGAUUCCCCCAGUAGCGGCGAGCGAACGGGGAGCAGCCCAGAGUCUGAAUCAGCUUGUGUGUUAGUGGAACGGUCUGGAAAGUCCGACGGUACAGGGUGAUAGUCCCGUACACCAAAAUGCACAGGUUGUGAACUCGAAGAGUAGGGCGGGACACGUGGUAUCCUGUCUGAAUAUGGGGGGACCAUCCUCCAAGGCUAAAUACUCCUGACUGACCGAUAGUGAACCAGUACCGUGAGGGAAAGGCGAAAAGAACCCCGGCGAGGGGAGUGAAAAAGAACCUGAAACCGUGUACGUACAAGCAGUGGGAGCACCUUCGGGUGUGACUGCGUACCUUUUGUAUAAUGGGUCAGCGACUUAUAUUCUGUAGCAAGGUUAACCGUAUAGGGGAGCCGCAGGGAAACCGAGUCUUAACUGGGCGUUAAGUUGCAGGGUAUAGACCCGAAACCCGGUGAUCUAGCCAUGGGCAGGUUGAAGGUUGGGUAACACUAACUGGAGGACCGAACCGACUAAUGUUGAAAAAUUAGCGGAUGACUUGUGGCUGGGGGUGAAAGGCCAAUCAAACCGGGAGAUAGCUGGUUCUCCCCGAAAGCUAUUUAGGUAGCGCCUCGUGAACUCAUCUUCGGGGGUAGAGCACUGUUUCGGCUAGGGGGUCAUCCCGACUUACCAACCCGAUGCAAACUACGAAUACCGAAGAAUGUUAUCACGGGAGACACACGGCGGGUGCUAACGUCCGUCGUGAAGAGGGAAACAACCCAGACCGCCAGCUAAGGUCCCAAAGUCAUGGUUAAGUGGGAAACGAUGUGGGAAGGCACAGACAGCCAGGAUGUUGGCUUAGAAGCAGCCAUCAUUUAAAGAAAGCGUAAUAGCUCACUGGUCGAGUCGGCCUGCGCGGAAGAUGUAACGGGGCUAAACCAUGCACCGAAGCUGCGGCAGCGACACUAUGUGUUGUUGGGUAGGGGAGCGUUCUGUAAGCCUGCGAAGGUGACCUGUGAGGGUUGCUGGAGGUAUCAGAAGUGCGAAUGCUGACAUAAGUAACGAUAAAGCGGGUGAAAAGCCCGCUCGCCGGAAGACCAAGGGUUCCUGUCCAACGUUAAUCGGGGCAGGGUGAGUCGACCCCUAAGGCGAGGCCGAAAGGCGUAGUCGAUGGGAAACAGGUUAAUAUUCCUGUACUUGGUGUUACUGCGAAGGGGGGACGGAGAAGGCUAUGUUAGCCGGGCGACGGUUGUCCCGGUUUAAGCAUGUAGGCUGGUUGUCCAGGCAAAUCCGGAUAAUCAAGGCUGAGGUGUGAUGACGAGGCACUACGGUGCUGAAGUAACAAAUGCCCUGCUUCCAGGAAAAGCCUCUAAGCAUCAGGUAACAUCAAAUCGUACCCCAAACCGACACAGGUGGUCAGGUAGAGAAUACCAAGGCGCUUGAGAGAACUCGGGUGAAGGAACUAGGCAAAAUGGUGCCGUAACUUCGGGAGAAGGCACGCUGGUGUGUAGGUGAAGUCCCUGCGGAUGGAGCUGAGACCAGUCGAAGAUACCAGCUGGCUGCAACUGUUUAUUAAAAACACAGCACUGUGCAAACACGAAAGUGGACGUAUACGGUGUGACGCCUGCCCGGUGCCGGAAGGUUAAUUGAUGGGGUUAUCCGUAAGGAGAAGCUCUUGAUCGAAGCCCCGGUAAACGGCGGCCGUAACUAUAACGGUCCUAAGGUAGCGAAAUUCCUUGUCGGGUAAGUUCCGACCUGCACGAAUGGCGUAAUGAUGGCCAGGCUGUCUCCACCCGAGACUCAGUGAAAUUGAACUCGCUGUGAAGAUGCAGUGUACCCGCGGCAAGACGGAAAGACCCCGUGAACCUUUACUAUAGCUUGACACUGAACAUUGAGCCUUGAUGUGUAGGAUAGGUGGGAGGCUUUGAAGCGUGGACGCCAGUCUGCGUGGAGCCAACCUUGAAAUACCACCCUUUAAUGUUUGAUGUUCUAACGUUGGCCCCUGACCGGGGUUGCGGACAGUGUCUGGUGGGUAGUUUGACUGGGGCGGUCUCCUCCCAAAGCGUAACGGAGGAGCACGAAGGUUAGCUAAUCCUGGUCGGACAUCAGGAGGUUAGUGCAAUGGCAUAAGCUAGCUUGACUGCGAGCGUGACGGCGCGAGCAGGUGCGAAAGCAGGUCAUAGUGAUCCGGUGGUUCUGAAUGGAAGGGCCAUCGCUCAACGGAUAAAAGGUACUCCGGGGAUAACAGGCUGAUACCGCCCAAGAGUUCAUAUCGACGGCGGUGUUUGGCACCUCGAUGUCGGCUCAUCACAUCCUGGGGCUGAAGUAGGUCCCAAGGGUAUGGCUGUUCGCCAUUUAAAGUGGUACGCGAGCUGGGUUUAGAACGUCGUGAGACAGUUCGGUCCCUAUCUGCCGUGGGCGCUGGAGAAUUGAGGGGGGCUGCUCCUAGUACGAGAGGACCGGAGUGGACGCAUCACUGGUGUUCGGGUUGUCAUGCCAAUGGCACUGCCCGGUAGCUAAAUGCGGAAGAGAUAAGUGCUGAAAGCAUCUAAGCACGAAACUUGCCCCGAGAUGAGUUCUCCCUGAGACUUUAAGUCUCCUGAAGGAACGUU
RNAcentral lists this ribosomal RNA (2812 nucleotides) under Klebsiella pneumoniae. Its description in RNAcentral is "partial 23S ribosomal RNA". It matches the Rfam family "Bacterial large subunit ribosomal RNA". Lineage: Bacteria; Pseudomonadati; Pseudomonadota; Gammaproteobacteria; Enterobacterales; Enterobacteriaceae. The record is from RNAcentral.